RNAcentral lists this long non-coding RNA (1585 nucleotides) under Callithrix jacchus (white-tufted-ear marmoset). RNAcentral describes it as "lncRNA (ENSCJAG00000050066.3)". The record is from RNAcentral. Lineage: Eukaryota; Metazoa; Chordata; Mammalia; Primates; Cebidae.
UUCUUAUAAGAUAAACACCAAAAACAGACAUUUUGACUGCUGACAGAUCUUCAGAGGGAAGACAAUGAAAGUGUAUGGAGGGAAGAUACAGAAGCUGGACUGAAUGUGAAGGAAGCUGAGAACCCUGCAUGAGGCUCCCACAGACAGGGACUUGUUUCUGGCCCCCAACAACUCCAGGGAAAAAGAUAAGUUGAACUGGAAAGGAGCAACUGCUUUCCUCAUGGGCCUGUGGAAUCCCAGCAGAAAGACAUCCCUCAACCACUAUGGACACUUGAAUUGGCAGUAAGAGCUGCUUAAAGAAGUGGAGCAUGGAUGGAGAUGGAGGCCAUUAUCCUUAGCAAACUAAUGCAGGAACAGAAAAUGAAAUACUGCAUGUUGUCACUUAUAAAUGGGAGCUAAAUAAUGGAAACACAUGGACACAUAGAGUGGACCAACAAACACUGGAGCCUACCAGAAGGUGGAGGAUUAGAAGAGAGAGAGGAUCAAGAAAAAUAACUAAGGAAUACUAUGCUGGUUACCUGGGUUUUGUGGUACAUGUGCAGAUCAUGCAGGACUGUUGCAUAGGUACACACAUGGAAAUGUGGUUUGCUGCCUCCAUCCCCCUGUCAUCUACAUCUGGCAUUUUUCCCCAUGUUGUCCCUUCCUGACCUCCCCACCCUGCCACACUGUCCCUCUCUUGCCCCCCCAACAGACCCCAGUGCUUGAUGCUCCCCUCCCUUUGUCCCUAUGUUCUCAUUAACCUGCUAAACGUCUCUUGAAAUACCAGAAAAUUAGAGUAUCUUCAGUGCUAUCUAAAUUGAAUAUUAUUAAAAAAAAUAAUUGCUUAAUUGUGCUUUAUUGGUGAACAAAAGAUAAUGUGCCUAAAAAUAAUUUAAAUGUAAACAUUACUGAGAGGGUUUUUAGACAUGUCUGAAAGCUGUCUAAAGGUCUGACAGCUUUCAGACUUUUGAAAUCAUCUGCAUCCAGGUCCUUUGGAAGGAUAGAUGUUGAGUAGAACAUUUUUUAUUUGCUGUCUGAAACUUACAUUAUAUAAUUUUUCUAGUGUCUACAUAAAUAAUAGGAAGAUAAGUGAAACAAAAUGAUACAGUGUGGUAUUAUUCUACUUUAUAUGUGUGCAUAUACUAAAUCACUAAACAAAUAUGCUAUAUAUACUAAAUACUAAGUAUAUUCUUUGCAUAUCUAUUUUAUAUAUGUGAAAACCUGUGGCUUAUAUUUUUGUAUCCUUUCCUUUGAUCAGCAAAGGAGAGAUACAGGAGCACAAUUUACCCUAAAUUCUAUAAUUUAGGAGAAACUGAGAGACUAUGUUAACUUCUCUUCCUGGGUCCACAAGGGGUGUGGUUUCAAAGGCAAGAACUUCCCUGCACCAUAUCCCACCCUCCUCCCCAUCAGGGAACAUAAAGUUCUUUGUCUAACGUUCCCUGCUUGUGGCUAGGUAAAAUUCCAGGUGAGCUUCCUUUGUUCAGAAAGCUGCCAAAAGCCCUUAAAGGAGAGACUCUGUUGUGGGCCAAGCAAUCAGUUUGGAAUCAAAGUCAAAGAUCAAUCACUCCAGAGGAAGUUUGAAAGAACUCCUCUCAUUGGACAAAAA